Molecule: ribosomal RNA, 246 nt
Filed under: uncultured bacterium
Lineage: Bacteria
Description: partial 16S ribosomal RNA
Rfam family: Bacterial small subunit ribosomal RNA
Source: RNAcentral
AAACGUAGGGUGCAAGCGUUGUCCGGAAUUACUGGGUGUAAAGGGAGCGCAGGCGGGGAGACAAGUCAGCUGUGAAAUGUAUGGGCUUAACCCAUAAAUUGCAGUUGAAACUGUUUUCUUGAGUGGAGUAGAGGUAGGCGGAAUUCCGAGUGUAGCGGUGAAAUGCGUAGAUAUUCGGAGGAACACCAGUGGCGAAGGCGGCCUACUGGGCUCUAACUGACGCUGAGGCUCGAAAGUGUGGGGAGC